GAUGAACGCUGGCGGCGUGCCUAAUACAUGCAAGUCGAGCGAACAGACGAGGAGCUUGCUCCUCUGACGUUAGCGGCGGACGGGUGAGUAACACGUGGAUAACCUACCUAUAAGACUGGGAUAACUUCGGGAAACCGGAGCUAAUACCGGAUAAUAUAUUGAACCGCAUGGUUCAAUAGUGAAAUACGGUUUUGCUGUCACUUAUAGAUGGAUCCGCGCCGCAUUAGCUAGUUGGUAAGGUAACGGCUUACCAAGGCAACGAUGCGUAGCCGACCUGAGGGGGUGAUCGGCCACACUGGAACUGAGACACGGUCCAGACUCCUACGGGAGGCAGCAGUAGGGAAUCUUCCGCAAUGGGCGAAAGCCUGACGGAGCAACGCCGCGUGAGUGAUGAAGGUCUUCGGAUCGUAAAACUCUGUUAUUAGGGAAGAACAAAUGUGUAAGUAACUAUGCACGUCUUGACGGUACCUAAUCAGAAAGCCACGGCUAACUACGUG
Molecule: ribosomal RNA, 497 nt
Filed under: uncultured bacterium
Lineage: Bacteria
Description: partial 16S ribosomal RNA
Rfam family: Bacterial small subunit ribosomal RNA
Source: RNAcentral